This 393-nucleotide ribosomal RNA is filed under the name uncultured bacterium. RNAcentral's name for it is "partial 16S ribosomal RNA". It matches the Rfam family "Bacterial small subunit ribosomal RNA", at positions 523 to 918 of the family's 1533-position model. The record is from RNAcentral.
AUACGGAGGAUGCAAGCGUUAUCCGGAUUUAUUGGGUUUAAAGGGUGCGUAGGCGGUUUGCUAAGCGGGAGGUGAAAUGCCGGCGCUCAACGUCGGAAGUGCCUCCCGAACUGGUGGACUUGAAUGACUCUGCCGUGGGAGGAAUGUGUAGUGUAGCGGUGAAAUGCUUAGAGAUUACACAGAACACCGAUUGCGAAGGCAUCUCACGAAGGGUUGAUUGACGCUGAGGCACGAAAGCGUGGGGAUCAAAUAGGAUUAGAUACCCUGGUAGUCCACGCAGUAAACGAUGAUGGCUAACCGCUGGGCUUAUCAGUUCAGUGGCCAAGCGAAAGCGAUAAGCCAUCCACCUGGGGAGUACGACCGCAAGGUUGAAACUCAAAGGAAUUGACGGGG